UCACAAUUCAGGAUCAAAUGAAAAGAUCAUUAACAGGGAAGUAAUGGCUUGAAUAAAAUUCAUAAAUUGAAUCAUUUAUAUGUUGACACUGUUUGGAUGCUUUCAACUGUUUGUUGGUCUGAUUUCUACGUUCACAAACAAAAUGAAAAAGUAAAUUAUUGUCAUUUUUACUCUGACAAGUGACUUUUGUGGAUGUGUAACAGUUAAAAAAGGCACUUUAAUAAUUCUUAUUAACAAUUUGUGUUUGUGAAUUUUAUCUCAACGAGGAAUUUUUAUUCAUUAAUGUUUCCUGUGGAAAUGACCUUGCUGCACAUCGUCCCUUCUGUCCCUCACAGAGCUGUUUUGCAUUGCUGAGGGAGCAGAUGUGCAGGAGAGACCAGAAGGUGAUUCAUAUGUGUUACAUUGUCUUCUGCAGGAGCAAAUAAAGGCUGGAAACCAA
Long non-coding RNA from Thunnus maccoyii (southern bluefin tuna), 439 nucleotides. RefSeq lists it as uncharacterized. The transcript has 2 exons. The record is from RefSeq and is a predicted model, not a curated record. NCBI's taxonomy places the organism in Eukaryota, Metazoa, Chordata, Actinopteri, Scombriformes, Scombridae.